This 1510-nucleotide non-coding RNA is filed under the name Cajanus cajan (pigeon pea). RNAcentral's name for it is "Eukaryotic large subunit ribosomal RNA". It matches the Rfam family "Eukaryotic large subunit ribosomal RNA", at positions 1 to 1901 of the family's 3401-position model. Lineage: Eukaryota; Viridiplantae; Streptophyta; Magnoliopsida; Fabales; Fabaceae. The record is from Rfam by way of RNAcentral.
AGACCUCAGGCUAGGCGGGGCUCCCCGCUAAGUUUAAGCAUAUCAAUAAGCGGAGGAAAAGAAACUAACAAGGAUUCCCUUAGUAACGACGAGCGAACCGGGAAGAGCCCACCAUGAAAAUCGGUUGUCUUUGGCAUCCAAAUUAUAGUCUGGAGAAGCGUCCUCAGUGGCAGACCGAGCCCAAGUCCCCUAGAAGGGGGCGCUAGAAAGGGUGAGAGCCCCAUCGUGCUCGGACCCUGUCACACCAUUAGGCACUGUCGUCAAGUCGGGUUGUUGGGGGAAUGCAACCCCAAUCGGGCAGUAAAUUAUGUCGAAGGCUAAAUACUGGCCAGAGACCGAUAGCGAACAAUUACCGUGAGGGAAAUAUGAAAAGGACUUUGAAAAGAGAGUCAAAGAGUGCUUGAAAUUGUUGAGAGGGAAGCCGAUGGGGGUCGGCGGUAUGUCUCAGUCGAAUGUGGAAUGGUGUUAGCCAAUCUGCCGAUCGACUCGGGGCAUUGGCCGAUGCGGAUUGUGAUGGUGGCCCAAGCCCGGGUUGUCAAAAUGCUCGUGGAGAUGUUAUCAUCAUGAUUGUGGACGGCAGCAUGCGCCUUUGUGGCGUGCUUUGACACUUGCAUGCUCCGUGCAUCGGCCUGUGGGCUCCCCAUUCAGCUCGUCUUGAAACACGAACCAAGGAGUCUGACAUGUGUGCGAGUCAACGGGUGAGUAAACCUGUAAGGCACAAGGAAGCUGAUUGGUGGGAUCCCCUUGUGGGUUGCACUGUCGAUCGACCCUGAUCUUCUGUGAAGGGUUCGAGUGAGAGCAUACCUGUUGGGACCCGAAAGAUGGUGAACUAUGCCUGAGCGGGGCAAAGCUAGAGGAAACUCUAGGGGAGGCCCGCAGCGAUAUUGACGUGCAAAUCAUUCUUCUGACUUGGGUAUAGGGGCGAAAGACUAAUCGAACCGUCUAGUAGCUGGUUCCCUCCAAAGUUUCCCUCAGGAUAGUUGGAGCCUACGGGCGAGUUCUAUUGGGUAAAUCCAAUGAUUAGAGGCAUCGGGGGCGCAAUGCCCUCGACCUAUUCUCAAACUUUAAAUAGGUAGGACGGUGUGGCUUCUUUGUUGAGCCACUCAACGAAAUCGAGAGCUCCAAGUGGUCCAUUUUUGGUAAGCAGAAUUGGCGAUGCGAGAUGAACUAGAAGCUGGGUUACGGUGCCCAACUACGCGCUAACCGAGACCCCACAAAGGGUUUUUGGUCGAUUAAGACACUAGAACGGUGGUGAUGGAAGUCGAAAUCCGUUAAGGAGUCUGUAAUAACUCACCUGCCGAAUCAACUAGCCCCAAAAAUGGAUGGCGCUAAAGCGCACGACCUAUACCUAGCGGUCGAGGCAAAAGCCAAGCCUCGAUGAGUAGGAGGGCGCGACGUUCGUUGUAAAACCUGGAGCGUUAGCCCGGGCAGAGCGUUCGUCAGUGUAGAUCUUGGUGGUAGUAGAAAAUAUUCAAAUGAGAACCUUGAAGGCCUGUCACAACCCAAAAGU